RNAcentral lists this ribosomal RNA (497 nucleotides) under uncultured bacterium. Its description in RNAcentral is "partial 16S ribosomal RNA". It matches the Rfam family "Bacterial small subunit ribosomal RNA", at positions 28 to 507 of the family's 1533-position model. The record is from RNAcentral.
GAUGAACGCUGGCGGCGUGCCUAAUACAUGCAAGUCGAGCGAACAGAUGAGGAGCUUGCUCCUCUGACGUUAGCGGCGGACGGGUGAGUAACACGUGGAUAACCUACCUAUAAGACUGGGAUAACUUCGGGAAACCGGAGCUAAUACCGGAUAAUAUAUUGAACCGCAUGGUUCAAUAGUGAAAGACGGUUUUGCUGUCACUUAUAGAUGGAUCCGCGCCGCAUUAGCUAGUUGGUAAGGUAAAGGCUUACCAAGGCAACGAUGCGUAGCCGACCGGAGAGAGGGAUCGGCCACACUGGAACUGAGCCACGGUCCAGGCUCCUACGGGAGGCAGCAGUAGGGAAUCGUCCGCAAUGGGCGAAAGCCUGACGGAGCAACGCCGCGUGAGUGAUGAAGGUCUUCGGAUCGUAAAACUCUGUUAUUAGGGAAGAACAAAUGUGUAAGUAACUAUGCACGUCUUGACGGUACCUAAUCAGAAAGCCACGGCUAACUACGUG